UGCAGGUGCUCCUGUGGUAUCGCAGGGAGCACUAAUAAAGCACUAGUAAACUGCAGGUAACCAUGGCAGACCAAUGGGGCUGUGCACCUGUCUGCCAAGCCUCACAGUACCAGCCUCUCCCUCCCGAGGCCCAGCCCUGAACUGGUUCUGUCCCCUGAGUCCAAUCUGCCCCCCAACCUGCCCCUCGAGACGACCGACAGGUGAUUUAUAACAGGCCAAGAACGACAGCUUCGUCUCUUCCCUUCCAGUCCAUGUUCUGCCUUUCUCUUUCCUUGUCUUGUGUCCUUGGCUCAUGUCCCCUGGGCACCGUGAGGAAAUGGUGACACAGCCUUGCAUCCUUGACUUGUCCUGAUCCUGAGGCUGGAGCUUAAGAGGUGGUUGUUGGCUGCAGCAUGGGUGCGGGGAACUGACCCCAUGGUCAGUCUGCAGGGAUCGUCUUCUGCAAGAGCAUCCAGUACUUGUAACUGCUGAACCAUCUCUCCAGUCUCCAUUAAAGAUGGC
Rattus norvegicus (Norway rat) is the source of this 501-nucleotide non-coding RNA. Lineage: Eukaryota; Metazoa; Chordata; Mammalia; Rodentia; Muridae. The record is from RefSeq and is a predicted model, not a curated record.